This 498-nucleotide ribosomal RNA is filed under the name uncultured bacterium. RNAcentral describes it as "partial 16S ribosomal RNA". It matches the Rfam family "Bacterial small subunit ribosomal RNA", at positions 30 to 523 of the family's 1533-position model. The record is from RNAcentral.
AUUGAACGCUGGCGGCAUGCCUUACACAAGCAAGUCGAACGGUAACAGGUCUUCGGAUGCUGACGAGUGGCGAACGGGUGAGUAAUACAUCGGAACGUGCCUAGUAGUGGGGGAUAACUACUCGAAAGAGUGGCUAAUACCGCAUGAGAUCUACGGAUGAAAGCAGGGGAUCGCAAGGCCUUGUGCUACUAGAGCGGCCGAUGGCGGAUUAGGUAGUUGUUGGGAUAAAAGCUUACCAAGCCGACGAUCUGUAGCUGGUCUGAGAGGACGAUCAGCCACCAUGGGACUGAGAAACUGCCCAGACUCCUACGGGAGGCAGCAGUGGGGAAUUUUGAACAAUGGGCGCAAGCCUGAUCCAGCAAUGCCGCGUGCAGGAUGAAGGCCUUCGGGUUGUAAACUGCUUUUGUACGGAACGAAAAGCCCCGGGUUAAUACCCUGGGGUCAUGACGGUACCGUAAGAAUAAGCACCGGCUAACUACGUGCCAGCCGCCGCAGUAA